Molecule: ribosomal RNA, 253 nt
Filed under: uncultured bacterium
Lineage: Bacteria
Description: partial 16S ribosomal RNA
Rfam family: Bacterial small subunit ribosomal RNA
Source: RNAcentral
UACGUAGGGUGCAAGCGUUGUCCGGAAUUAUUGGGCGUAAAGAGCUCGUAGGCGGUCUGUCGCGUCUGGUGUGAAAAUCCAGGGCUUAACCCUGGACCUGCAUCGGGUACGGGCAGACUAGAGUGCGGUAGGGGAGAUCGGAAUUCCUGGUGUAGCGGUGAAAUGCGCAGAUAUCAGGAGGAACACCGGUGGCGAAGGCGGGUCUCUGGGCAGUAACUGACGCUGAGGAGCGAAAGCGUGGGGAGCGAACAGG